CAUGUCCUUUUGAUUAUGAUUUAAGGUUUAAUCUGCUCAAUGAUUUUUUAAAUUGCCGCAGUAUUUUGACUGUGCGAAGGUAGCAUAAUAAUUAGCUUUUUGAUUAGAAGCUGGAAUGAAUGAUUGGACGAGAAAAUUUCUGUCUCCUUUUUAUUUAUUAUUGAAUUUUAUUUUUAAGUUAAAAAGCUUAAAUUUUUAUAAAAGACGAGAAGACCCUAUAGAGUUUUAUAUUUAACUAAUAUUUAGGUUUGGUAAUAUUUUUAUUAUUUAAGUAUUUGGUUGGGGUGACUUGAAGAUUUGUAUAAUUCUUUAAAUUUUUAGUUAUUGAUUUUUAAAUUUUUAUAUCUAAUUUAUUAAAAUUAAUAUAAAUUACCUUAGGGAUAACAGCGUAAUUUUCUUUAAAAGUUCUUAUUGAAAGGAAAUUUUGCGACCUCGAUGUUGGAUUAAAAUUAAUUUUUGGUGCAGUAACUAAAAAAUUAGGUCUGUUCGACCUUUAAUAUUUUACAUGAUCUGAGUUUAGACCGGCGUGAGCCAGGUUAGAUUCUAUCUUUAAUUGUUUAGUAUAUUUUAGUACGAAAGGACCUAAUAUGCAUUUAAUUAAAUUG
Molecule: ribosomal RNA, 605 nt
Filed under: Lycoprogenthes sp. UPOL A00542
Lineage: Eukaryota; Metazoa; Arthropoda; Insecta; Coleoptera; Lycidae
Description: partial 16S ribosomal RNA
Rfam family: Bacterial large subunit ribosomal RNA (bases 380-538)
Source: RNAcentral